RNAcentral lists this unclassified non-coding RNA (22 nucleotides) under unclassified sequences. Its description in RNAcentral is "Aptamer that binds to AML1 Runt domain". The record is from RNAcentral. RNAcentral also lists the same sequence under 1 other name.
GGACCCACCACGGCGAGGUCCA